Molecule: ribosomal RNA, 253 nt
Filed under: uncultured bacterium
Lineage: Bacteria
Description: partial 16S ribosomal RNA
Rfam family: Bacterial small subunit ribosomal RNA
Source: RNAcentral
UACGCAGGGGGCUAGCGUUGCUCGGAAUCACUGGGCGUAAAGGGUGCGUAGGCGGGUCUUUAAGUCAGGGGUGAAAUCCUGGAGCUCAACUCCAGAACUGCCUUUGAUACUGAAGAUCUUGAGUUCGGGAGAGGUGAGUGGAACUGCGAGUGUAGAGGUGAAAUUCGUAGAUAUUCGCAAGAACACCAGUGGCGAAGGCGGCUCACUGGUCCGGUUCUGACGCUGAGGCGCGAAAGCGUGGGGAGCAAACAGG